Molecule: ribosomal RNA, 96 nt
Filed under: Shewanella baltica
Lineage: Bacteria; Pseudomonadati; Pseudomonadota; Gammaproteobacteria; Alteromonadales; Shewanellaceae
Also listed under: 3 other names
Description: partial 23S ribosomal RNA
Rfam family: Bacterial large subunit ribosomal RNA
Source: RNAcentral
GGUUAAGCGACUAAGCGUAUACGGUGGAUGCCUUGGCAGUCAGAGGCGAUGAAGGACGUAGUAACUUGCGAAAAGCGUUGGCGAGCUAGUAACAAG